Molecule: ribosomal RNA, 484 nt
Filed under: uncultured bacterium
Lineage: Bacteria
Description: partial 16S ribosomal RNA
Rfam family: Bacterial small subunit ribosomal RNA
Source: RNAcentral
AGUGAACGCUAGCGGCGUGCUUAACACAUGCAAGUCGAACGAGAACGGAUUAUAGCUUGCUAUAAUUGUCAGCUAAGUGGCGCACGGGUGAGUAAUGUAUAGGUAAUAUGCCUCUUACUAAGGGAUAACAAAUGGAAACGUUUGCUAAUACCUUAUACUCCUUAUUAACAUAAAUUAAUAAGGGAAAGAUUUAUUGGUAAGAGAUUAGCCUGUAUUGUAUCAGUUAGUUGGUGGGGUAAUGGCUUACCAAGACUAUGACACAUAACUGGUUUGAGAGGAUGAUCAGCCACACUGGAACUGAGACACGGUCCAGACUCCUGCGGGAGGCAGCAGUGGGGAAUAUUGCACGAUGGACGAAAGUCUGAUGCAGCAACGCCGCGUGGAGGAUGACACAUUUCGGUGCGUAAACUCCUUUUAUAUGAGAAGAUAAUGACGGUAUUAUAUGAAUAAGCACCGGCUAACUCCGUGCCAGCCGCCGCGGUAA